UACAGAGGGUGCAAGCGUUGUUCGGAAUUAUUGGGCGUAAAGCGCGUGUAGGCGGCUUUGCAAGUCGGGUGUGAAAGCCCCUCAGCUCAACUGAGGAAGUGCGCCCCGAAAACUGCAGAGCUUGAGUGCCGGAGAGGGGUGGCGGAAUUCCCCCAAGUAGAGGUGAAAAUUCGUAGAUAUGGGGGAGGAACACCGGUGGGCGAAAGG
Molecule: ribosomal RNA, 207 nt
Filed under: uncultured bacterium
Lineage: Bacteria
Description: partial 16S ribosomal RNA
Rfam family: Bacterial small subunit ribosomal RNA
Source: RNAcentral